This 470-nucleotide ribosomal RNA is filed under the name uncultured bacterium. Its description in RNAcentral is "bacterial SSU rRNA". It matches the Rfam family "Bacterial small subunit ribosomal RNA", at positions 28 to 499 of the family's 1533-position model. The record is from RNAcentral.
GAUGAACGCUGGCGGCGUGCUUAACACAUGCAAGUCGAACGGGAAAUAUUUCAUUGAGACUUCGGUGGAUUUGAUCUAUUUCUAGUGGCGGACGGGUGAGUAACGCGUGGGUAACCUGCCUUAUACAGGGGGAUAACAGUCAGAAAUGGCUGCUAAUACCGCAUAAGCGCACAGAGCUGCAUGGCUCAGUGUGAAAAACUCCGGUGGUAUAAGAUGGACCCGCGUUGGAUUAGCUAGUUGGUGGGGUAACGGCCCACCAAGGCGACGAUCCAUAGCCGGCCUGAGAGGGUGAACGGCCACAUUGGGACUGAGACACGGCCCAGACUCCUACGGGAGGCAGCAGUGGGGAAUAUUGCACAAUGGGGGAAACCCUGAUGCAGCGACGCCGCGUGAAGGAAGAAGUAUCUCGGUAUGUAAACUUCUAUCAGCAGGGAAGAUAGUGACGGUACCUGACUAAGAAGCCCCGGCAA